RNAcentral lists this ribosomal RNA (374 nucleotides) under uncultured bacterium. RNAcentral describes it as "bacterial SSU rRNA". It matches the Rfam family "Bacterial small subunit ribosomal RNA", at positions 28 to 396 of the family's 1533-position model. The record is from RNAcentral.
GACGAACGCUGGCGGCGGGCUUAACACAUGCAAGUCGAACGGGGUCCAUCCUUCGGGAGAAGACCUAGUGGCGAACGGGUGAGUAACACGUGAGCAACCUGUCUCAAAGUCUGGGAGUAAGCCAGGGAAACGUUAGGUCUAAUACCGGAUGUCUUCAUUUGUAUCCUAUGUUCUUAUGAGGAAAGAUUAUCGCUUUGUAGAGGGGCGUCGCGGCCUAUCAGCUUGUUGGUGGGGUAAGUGGCCUACCAAGGCGUCGACGGGUAGCUGGUCUGAGAGGAUGAUCAGCCACACUGGAACUGAGACACGGUCCAGACUCCUACGGGAGGCAGCAGUGGGGAAUCUUGCGCAAUGGGCGAAAGCCUGACGCAGCCACG